AAAUCUAAACGACUCUCGGCAACGGAUAUCUCGGCUCUCGCAUCGAUGAAGAACGUAGCGAAAUGCGAUACUUGGUGUGAAUUGCAGAAUCCCGUGAACCAUCGAGUCUUUGAACGCAAGUUGCGCCCGAAGCCUUGGCCGAGGGCACGCCUGCCUGGGU
This 160-nucleotide ribosomal RNA is filed under the name Combretum indicum (Rangoon creeper). RNAcentral describes it as "5.8S ribosomal RNA". It matches the Rfam family "5.8S ribosomal RNA". From Rfam's summary of the family: 5.8S ribosomal RNA (5.8S rRNA) is a component of the large subunit of the eukaryotic ribosome. It is transcribed by RNA polymerase I as part of the 45S precursor that also contains 18S and 28S rRNA. Functionally, it is thought that 5.8S rRNA may be involved in ribosome translocation. The record is from RNAcentral. Lineage: Eukaryota; Viridiplantae; Streptophyta; Magnoliopsida; Myrtales; Combretaceae. RNAcentral also lists the same sequence under 1 other name.